UCACUUACCUGGACGGGGUCGAUGGGUGAUCCAUAAGGCCCAUGGCCUAGAUUGGUGACUUCCAUUGCACUCAGGAGGGUCGUCCGUCUAAGGUCGGCCUAAGUGGUCGAGCCUGCGUCAUAAUUUGUGACAGAGGGGGCUUGCGUUCGCGCAGCCCCUGC
Small nuclear RNA from Salvia splendens (bonfire salvia), 161 nucleotides. RefSeq annotates it as U1 spliceosomal RNA. The record is from RefSeq and is a predicted model, not a curated record. NCBI's taxonomy places the organism in Eukaryota, Viridiplantae, Streptophyta, Magnoliopsida, Lamiales, Lamiaceae. The transcript has a single exon.